Mycena olivaceomarginata is the source of this 93-nucleotide non-coding RNA. The record is from the annotation of a GenBank genome assembly. NCBI's taxonomy places the organism in Eukaryota, Fungi, Basidiomycota, Agaricomycetes, Agaricales, Mycenaceae.
GGCUCGGUAGCGGAGGGUCCGCAUCUGUGCUUCAUGCGCAUGUUGAAAAUAGCUGUUAUGCAGACACUGCCUGUUCGACUCAGGCCCGAGCCA